CCUACGGGAGGCAGCAGUAGGGAAUAUUGCUCAAUGGGGGAAACCCUGAAGCAGCAACGCCGCGUGGAGGAUGAAGGUUUUCGGAUUGUAAACUCCUUUUGUUAGAGAAGAAAAUGACGGUAACUAACGAAUAAGCACCGGCUAACUCCGUGCCAGCAGCCGCGGUAAUACGGAGGGUGCAAGCGUUACUCGGAAUCACUGGGCGUAAAGAGGGCGUAGGCGGGAUAGCAAGUCAGAUGUGAAAUCCUAUGGCUUAACCAUAGAACUGCAUUUGAAACUGUUAUUCUAGAGUAUGGGAGAGGUAGGUGGAAUUCUUGGUGUAGGGGUGAAAUCCGUAGAGAUCAAGAGGAAUACUCAUUGCGAAGGCGACCUGCUAGAACAUAACUGACGCUGAUGCGCGAAAGCGUGGGGAGCAAACAGGAUUAGAUACCCCUGUAGUC
This 440-nucleotide ribosomal RNA is filed under the name uncultured bacterium. Its description in RNAcentral is "partial 16S ribosomal RNA". It matches the Rfam family "Bacterial small subunit ribosomal RNA", at positions 338 to 795 of the family's 1533-position model. The record is from RNAcentral.